RNAcentral lists this ribosomal RNA (776 nucleotides) under uncultured Neocallimastigales. RNAcentral's name for it is "partial large subunit ribosomal RNA". It matches the Rfam family "Eukaryotic large subunit ribosomal RNA", at positions 24 to 639 of the family's 3401-position model. Lineage: Eukaryota; Fungi; Neocallimastigomycota; Neocallimastigomycetes; Neocallimastigales. The record is from RNAcentral.
UACGACUACAUAUCAGGCAUAUCAAUAAGCGGAGGAAAAGAAACUAACAAGGAUUCCCCUAGUAACGGCGAGUGAAGCGGGAAGAGCUCAAAUUUGAAAUCUUAAAGGGUUUCCCUUUACGAAUUGUAGUUUAAAGAAGUGUUUUCUGUUGGAGUUUCGGUAAAAGUUCUUUGGAAUAGGACAUCAUAGAGGGUGAGAAUCCCGUAUUUGACCGUUACUUUCCAGCUGUGUGAUACACUUUCAAAGAGUCGGAUUGUUUGGGAAUGCAGUCCAAAAUGGGUGGUAAAUUUCAUCUAAAGCUAAAUAUUGGCGAGAGACCGAUAGCGAACAAGUACCGUGAGGGAAAGAUGAAAAGAACUUUGAAAAGAGAGUUAAACAGUACGUGAAAUUGUCAAAAGGGAAGCGUUUGACACCAGUGUUGUUUAGUUGAAGAUCAAUUAAAUAGUUUUCGAUUUUAAGUAGUAUUGACUUCAUCAGCUUGCUGCUUUCUUUCGGAAAUUAUUUAAUGCACUUUUCAGUUAACAAGUCAACAUCAAUUUCUUUUGUUGUAAAAAGGUAAGAGGAAGGUGGCUUGCGCUUCGGCUCAAGUGUUUAUAGCCUUUUACUUCUGCAAUCGGAGAGAUUGAGGUCUGCAGCGUAGAUCCUUCGGGGUUAGAUACAUUUGUGCUAAGUUAUAGCUUGUCAUAGACAACUUGUUGACUAUGUUUAGUCAUUGUAGCUUACUCGCUUACUGCUAUUUUACCUACGCUUAGGAUGUUGACGCGCGUGUGUGCGUG